This 560-nucleotide ribosomal RNA is filed under the name Mycobacterium kansasii. Its description in RNAcentral is "bacterial SSU rRNA". It matches the Rfam family "Bacterial small subunit ribosomal RNA", at positions 73 to 635 of the family's 1533-position model. The record is from RNAcentral. Lineage: Bacteria; Bacillati; Actinomycetota; Actinomycetes; Mycobacteriales; Mycobacteriaceae.
GGUCUCUUCGGAGACACUCGAGUGGCGAACGCGGUGAGUAACACGUGGGCAAUCUGCCCUGCACACCGGGAUAAGCCUGGGAAACUGGGUCUAAUACCGGAUAGGACCACUUGGCGCAUGCCUUGUGGUGGAAAGCUUUUGCGGUGUGGGAUGGGCCCGCGGCCUAUCAGCUUGUUGGUGGGGUGACGGCCUACCAAGGCGACGACGGGUAGCCGGCCUGAGAGGGUGUCCGGCCACACUGGGACUGAGAUACGGCCCAGACUCCUACGGGAGGCAGCAGUGGGGAAUAUUGCACAAUGGGCGCAAGCCUGAUGCAGCGACGCCGCGUGGGGGAUGACGGCCUUCGGGUUGUAAACCUCUUUCACCAUCGACGAAGGUCCGGGUUCUCUCGGAUUGACGGUAGGUGGAGAAGAAGCACCGGCCAACUACGUGCCAGCAGCCGCGGUAAUACGUAGGGUGCGAGCGUUGUCCGGAAUUACUGGGCGUAAAGAGCUCGUAGGUGGUUUGUCGCGUUGUUCGUGAAAUCUCACGGCUUAACUGUGAGCGUGCGGGCGAUACGG